RNAcentral lists this ribosomal RNA (460 nucleotides) under uncultured bacterium. RNAcentral's name for it is "partial 16S ribosomal RNA". It matches the Rfam family "Bacterial small subunit ribosomal RNA", at positions 338 to 795 of the family's 1533-position model. The record is from RNAcentral.
CCUACGGGAGGCAGCAGUGAGGAAUAUUGGUCAAUGGGCGUAAGCCUGAACCAGCCAAGUCGCGUGAGGGAUGAAGGUUCUAUGGAUUGUAAACCUCUUUUAUAAGGGAAUAAAGUGCUGCACGUGUCCCGUUUUGUAUGUACCUUAUGAAUAAGGAUCGGCUAACUCCGUGCCAGCAGCCGCGGUAAUACGGAGGAUCCGAGCGUUAUCCGGAUUUAUUGGGUUUAAAGGGUGCGUAGGCGGCCUUUUAAGUCAGCGGUGAAAGUCUGUGGCUCAACCAUAGAAUUGCCGUUGAAACUGGGAGGCUUGAGUAUGGUUGAGGCAGGCGGAAUUCGUGGUGUAGCGGUGAAAUGCUUAGAUAUCACGCAGAACCCCGAUUGCGAAGGCAGCCUGCCAGGCCAUGACUGACGCUGAUGCACGAAAGCGUGGGGAUCAAACAGGAUUAGAUACCCGGGUAGUC